UACAGAGGUCUCAAGCGUUGUUCGGAAUCACUGGGCGUAAAGGGUGUGUAGGCUGCGUGCUAAGUCAGAUGUGAAAGCCCGGGGCUCAACCUCGGAACUGCAUCCGAUACUGGCAUGCUGGAGAACUGGAGAGGAGUCUAGAAUUCACGGUGUAGCAGUGAAAUGCGUGGAUAUCGUGAGGAAUACCAAAUGCGAAGGCAGGACUCUGGACAUUUUCUGACGCUGAGACACGAAGGCCAGGGGAGCAAACGGG
RNAcentral lists this ribosomal RNA (253 nucleotides) under uncultured prokaryote. Its description in RNAcentral is "partial 16S ribosomal RNA". It matches the Rfam family "Bacterial small subunit ribosomal RNA", at positions 524 to 776 of the family's 1533-position model. The record is from RNAcentral.